Non-coding RNA from Ictidomys tridecemlineatus (thirteen-lined ground squirrel), 69 nucleotides. Lineage: Eukaryota; Metazoa; Chordata; Mammalia; Rodentia; Sciuridae. The record is from Rfam.
GGGGCUGUAGCUCAGUGGCAGAGCGCUUGCCUAGAGUGCGUGAGGCACUGGGUUCGAUCCUCAGCACCA